AUUGAGUGGGAAAGAUUGGUUGUGGUUGAACCACCCACUUCAGGCCUAUUUGGAUGAUGGGCCAAAAAUCCUAUGUGAUUCGUAGAUUGGAUCAGUAUAACCAGCAAAAUCAUAAGAUAACCGACUGAGCUAGACCUAUAUGCAUAAAUACCCAAAAGUAGCUUUAGAGUGGGUCGGCCCGAAUUCUAUAAGGCUAAAAUAAAGACCUCA
Molecule: long non-coding RNA, 210 nt
Filed under: Phoenix dactylifera (date palm)
Lineage: Eukaryota; Viridiplantae; Streptophyta; Magnoliopsida; Arecales; Arecaceae
Description: long non-coding RNA (PDAC_LNC017407)
Source: RNAcentral